RNAcentral lists this ribosomal RNA (468 nucleotides) under uncultured bacterium. RNAcentral's name for it is "partial 16S ribosomal RNA". It matches the Rfam family "Bacterial small subunit ribosomal RNA", at positions 28 to 507 of the family's 1533-position model. The record is from RNAcentral.
GACGAACGCUGGCGGCGUGCUUAACACAUGCAAGUCGAACGGAAAGGCCCUGCUUUUGUGGGGUGCUCGAGUGGCGAACGGGUGAGUAACACGUGAGUAACCUGCCCUUGACUUUGGGAUAACUUCAGGAAACUAGGGCUAAUACCGGAUAGGAGCUCCUGCUGCAUGGUGGGGGUUGGAAAGUUUCGGCGGUUGGGGAUGGACUCGCGGCUUAUCAGCUUGUUGGUGGGGUAGUGGCUUACCAAGGCUUUGACGGGUAGCCGGCCUGAGAGGGUGACCGGCCACAGUGGGACUGAGAUACGGCCCAGACUACUACGGGAGGCAGCAGUGGGGAAUAUUGCACAAUGGGCGGAAGCCUGAUGCAGCAACGCCGCGUGCGGGAUGACGGCCUUCGGGUUGUAAACCGCUUUCGCCUGUGACGAAGCGUGAGUGACGGUAAUGGGUAAAGAAGCACCGGCUAACUACGUG